Molecule: ribosomal RNA, 355 nt
Filed under: uncultured Actinomycetes bacterium
Lineage: Bacteria; Bacillati; Actinomycetota; Actinomycetes
Description: bacterial SSU rRNA
Rfam family: Bacterial small subunit ribosomal RNA
Source: RNAcentral
AUGGCUGUCGUCAGCUCGUGUCGUGAGAUGUUGGGUUAAGUCCCGUAACGAGCGCAACCCUUGUCCUAUGUUGCCAGCACGUGAUGGUGGGGACUCAUGGGAGACUGCCGGGGUCAACUCGGAGGAAGGUGGGGACGACGUCAAGUCAUCAUGCCCCUUAUGUCUUGGGCUGCAAACAUGCUACAAUGGCCGGUACAGUGGGCGUGCGAUGCCGUGAGGUGGAGCGAAUCCCAUAAAGCCGGUCUCAGUUCGGAUUGGGGUCUGCAACUCGACCCCAUGAAGGUGGAGUCGCUAGUAAUCGCGGAUCAGCAAUGCCGCGGUGAAUACGUUCCCGGGCCUUGUACACACCGCCCGU